GAUGAACGCUGGCGGCGUGCCUAACACAUGCAAGUCGAGCGGACGGACGUUAUGCUUUCUUCUCUUAUUUUCGCGGAGCAGGGGUGGGUAACACGUUUAUACCCCACCUAUAAGAAUGGGGAAACUUCCGGAAACCGGAGCUAAUACACGAAGAUAUUUUGAACCGCAUGGUUGAAAAGUACAUGACGGUCUUGCUGUCACUUAUAGAUGGAUCCGCGCUGCAUUAGCUAGUUGGUAAGGUAACGGCUUACCAAGGCAACGAUGGAUAGCCGACCUGAGAGGGUGAACGGCCACACUGGAACUGAGACACGGUCCAGACUCCUACGGGAGGCAGCAGUAGGGAAUCUUACGCAAUGGGCGAAAGCCUGACGGAGCAACGCCGCGUGAGUGAUGAAGGUCUUCGGAUCGUAAAACUCUGUUAGUAGGGAAGAAGAUAUGUGUAGUUAACUGUGCACAUCUUGACGGUACCUAAUCAGAAAGCCACGGCUAACUACGUG
RNAcentral lists this ribosomal RNA (497 nucleotides) under uncultured bacterium. RNAcentral's name for it is "partial 16S ribosomal RNA". It matches the Rfam family "Bacterial small subunit ribosomal RNA", at positions 28 to 507 of the family's 1533-position model. The record is from RNAcentral.